Molecule: ribosomal RNA, 656 nt
Filed under: Acinetobacter sp.
Lineage: Bacteria; Pseudomonadati; Pseudomonadota; Gammaproteobacteria; Moraxellales; Moraxellaceae
Description: bacterial SSU rRNA
Rfam family: Bacterial small subunit ribosomal RNA
Source: RNAcentral
UGCAGUCGAGCGGGGGAGGUUGCUUCGGUAACUGACCUAGCGGCGGACGGGUGAGUAAUGCUUAGGAAUCUGCCUAUUAGUGGGGGACAACAUCUCGAAAGGGAUGCUAAUACCGCAUACGUCCUACGGGAGAAAGCAGGGGACCUUCGGGCCUUGCGCUAAUAGAUGAGCCUAAGUCGGAUUAGCUAGUUGGUGGGGUAAAGGCCUACCAAGGCGACGAUCUGUAGCGGGUCUGAGAGGAUGAUCCGCCACACUGGGACUGAGACACGGCCCAGACUCCUACGGGAGGCAGCAGUGGGGAAUAUUGGACAAUGGGGGGAACCCUGAUCCAGCCAUGCCGCGUGUGUGAAGAAGGCCUUUUGGUUGUAAAGCACUUUAAGCGAGGAGGAGGCUACUGGUAUUAAUACUACCGGAUAGUGGACGUUACUCGCAGAAUAAGCACCGGCUAACUCUGUGCCAGCAGCCGCGGUAAUACAGAGGGUGCGAGCGUUAAUCGGAUUUACUGGGCGUAAAGCGUGCGUAGGCGGCUUUUUAACUCGGAUGUGAAAUCCCUGAGCUUAACUUAGGAAUUGCUUUCCAUACUGGGAGGCUAAAGUAUGGGAGAGGAAUGGUAAAAAUUUCCGGUGUACCGGUGAAAUGCGUAAAGAUCUUGAAUA